RNAcentral lists this ribosomal RNA (303 nucleotides) under uncultured bacterium. Its description in RNAcentral is "partial 16S ribosomal RNA". It matches the Rfam family "Bacterial small subunit ribosomal RNA", at positions 507 to 807 of the family's 1533-position model. The record is from RNAcentral.
AGCAGUCGCCACGGGAAUACGUAGGGUGCAAGCGUUAAUCGGAAUUAUUGGGCGUAAAGCGUGCGCAGGCGGUUGGUUAAGACAGAUGUGAAAUCCCCGGGCUCAACCUGGGAACUGCAUUUGUGACUGGCCAGCUAGAGUAUGGCAGAGGGGGGUGGAAUUCCACGUGUAGCAGUGAAAUGCGUAGAGAUGUGGAGGAAUACCGAUGGCGAAGGCAGCCCCCUGGGCCAAUACUGACGCUCAUGCACGAAAGCGUGGGGAGCAAACAGGAUUAGAUACCCCCGUAGUCCCUGUCUCUUAUAC